AUUAAAAGUCCGCCUGUACAUUCUUAUCUCAGCUCCACCGCUCAGCAUAAUCGCAGUUAUAUUCGUACAGUACUUUCGCAAAAACUUCCACAAAUGGCUGCUUCUCUCUAUACUCUCUCAAUCGCCGUCACUCUCAGGUCAUACUCUCUCUCGCUCCCUCUCCCUCUCUCUCUCUCCCCUAUUUAUAUGCAGAUGAAGCAACUUUCUAUUUUGGUAGUUGUAAAAUAAUUUUGAAGUAAAUUUCUUGUUCUAUAUCGAUCUACAGACUACUGCUUGUUGCUCAAUCCUUGGUUCUUUUGGGUUUCAAUUUAUCCUUUUAAUUUAUUUAUGGGACCGUAAAACUGAUGUUGCAUAACCUGAGUUUUUCUUUCCUGAUAUUCCAGAGUUGUUUCUCACUUUUGGUAUUUGUCAUUGUUGUUGAAUAUUUUUCAGGAUGAAUCUAGUGCAUCCAAAAAAUCACUUGUACCUCCCCCAGUUACGGAAAGGAGUUGUGCGUUUCCGUGCUCGUACGAGUAUUACAUGGCAAAAAUGCAAUUUAAAGCUCAACAUGGUGCCUGGUGGACUAUUUUCUGGUUGUUGUGAUUCGAGAACCUUAGCAACUGCUAACUCACUAGAAAUUGAUGGUGAAAACCGGGCAAAUGGGUUCAGGUUUCUGAUUGAUUUUGUUUUUACAUUUAUUAUACAUUGUUUUAUCACUUAUGAAUUCAGUUUUUACUCUUUCUUUCCAUUUAAUUUGUUAUGAAUCUAAACUUUAUUUUUAGGAAAUGUAUUUUAGCUAUUGUUUAUUUAACUAGAAUUUUAUUUUAUCUAUGGAUUUAGUUGGAUUUAAUCAACAUAGUUGUGGAGUCAUUGUUUAGGCAUUAUAGGUGUUAAAUGGAUUUGUGACUAUUAUCUAGAAAUUAGUAAGCGCUUUAAGGUAUCUUCUAUUUCUUUUUAAUGAGGGAAGAAAUUAUUUGGCAUUUCUAUGCUUUUCGAGGUAAGUUCCUCGGAAACUCAAUUUGGAGGUCAAGGAUUCCUCGAAUGAGCCUACCAUAAUCGUUCGUUUCAUUAUUUCUAUACGAGCAAUUUGUGUUCAUACAUAAAUUCUUACAAUGUAUAUGAAAUAUUUGGUGUAACUGUGUAAGUAAGUUAAGCAUCCUUCAUUUCUGUCCUUGAAAUAAUAUUUGAUUUAAAUAAAUUUUUAUAAAAUUAUCUUUCAUGCGAAAACAUGGAAUGAUAACAUGCAUGUGAUGUCCCAAGCAACACUAUUCUCACCAUCAAUGCCCAUUUAUACUGUCUCUAUCACUGCCAAGUACUCCCACAUUCGGCCAUAUAAGGUUCUGUUACCAUCAUUGACCUUCCUCAUCAUCACAGUAAAGUAGCAGGUUUUACAACAAUAAUGGACUGCCCACAGUCAGUACCACUCAUCGAACAACCAUCUAGCCUAUAAUUUACUGAAAAGUUUAUUUGUUUUGUAGUAAUUUGUUUUGAGAAGUUUCAUUAAACAAACCAAACACCAAAUUAUGACAAGAGAACAAGCUUUUUUUUUUUUUUGGCCUGUGCUCGGUGAAACAUUUUAUAUGAACCAAAUCAUUGCAUUUGAGAUGAAGACAUCACUCUAAAAGUUUAUUAUGCCCUCAUUUGACCCCAUUUUUUAGAAAUGAAAAUGAGUGGAAUAGUAUUUUUUUAAAAAAUGGGUGGUUGAAAAAGAAGGAAAAGUUUUCGAUUUAUUUAUUUAUAAUAUAUUAUGGAAGAUUGUGUGGUUGAAUAUAGGAGAGAGAAAAAUAGAAUGUAAUGGAAUAGAAUUUAAUGGGGGCCAAAUAGGGGCUAUAUUGGAGAUUCCAUGCCUUAAUUUAACUAUAAUUUGCUUUAUUAACAGGUCUAGAUAUUUGAAUGAGAACUCAGUGAACUUCCAAAACAGCAUGAAUGAUCUUGAAAGCCAAUUGCAGGAGUUGUUUAAUGAAGUAAAAACUAUGAUUCAAUUGGGAAAGGAAAAUGAUGCAGUUGAUUUACUUGAGGCGAAUUAUGAAGCUGUUAAAGAACAAAUGGCUUCAGGUGCUACAGACAUAGAAGAAGCUGCUAUUCUUGAUGUAAUAGCCUUGGGGUACAUGGUUCUUGGAGACUUGCAGACUGUUGGGUCAAUAUUAGACGUGGUAAUAUAUCUUGCAACAUAUCUAGGUACAAUAUUUCUGCAUUCUUUAUAUAAAAUUUUCAAUUAUAUGAAGCCAGGUUUAAUCCAUAAACAUAUUUCCUUGAAUGCGGUUACUCAAAAAAAUGAGAGAGAGAGAGAGAGAGAGAGAGAGAAGUUUCAUCUGGAUUUUAAUUGAUAAAGUGAGCUUCUUCAUAUUCAACUAGUCUAUUUUUUUUUUUGAUAGAAAACAUUUCUGUUCAUGCAACUUGGAGAUUUGUGUAAACUGAAGAUGAGAUUUUUUAUUUUUAAGUAAAAUUUUUAUGGUUAUCUCUGCUUCCCUUUGUUCUGUGAUGGAAUUCUUUUUAAGCAACCUUGCCAUCUUAUUCUGGAUUAUAAUACUUUCUUUAGUUUUGUACUUUUUGACAAUAUUUGUCCUGAGGAUCUAUUAAAUGUGAAUCCAGUUGAACAAGAUUGUAAAUAGGUUAAAGGAUCAGGAACCUCUUCUGGAUUCGAUACUCAUGCAUAUGGGAAGCAUGUAUGACAAGCUGGAAAAGUUUGAGCUGUCCAUUGGUUUCUACCAGAGAUCCCUUCAAAUUAUGGAAAGAACAUAUGGUAGGUUCAACUUUGAUAUUUUAUUCACGUUAAUUCUACUAAUUAAUGGGGGUUUCUUCUUCUGUCAUGGUUGCUUUAUUGUUUGUGUUUGUUGAGGGUGAGGGUGGUGCUUACUUUUAAAUAGGAUGUAGGAUAUUCUUCCAUUUUGUCAUCCAGUUUUGGGUUUUCUGGAUACAAUGGAACAGGUUUCAGUAUUUUGGUUAGAUGGCUAAUCAAAUAACCAUUCAUAUAAAUUCUAUCAAAUAACCGUUCAUAUAAACUCUCUUAACCAAUUUGUUUAAAACAGCCACCAUACCAAAUCUAUGUUUUCUACUGUCAUGUAGGAAACAACAGCUCAUUUCUUACCAUGCUGUUGCUGGGGAUGGCUAAAGUGCUUGGUUCUAUGGGAAGAGCUAGUGAGGCAAUGGAAACAUACCAGCGUGUGAUUACGCUAUUGGAAUCUAGUAGGGGUGGGGAAAAUGAGGAAUUGGCAGUGCCAUUAUUGGCACUGGGCAAUCUUUUAAUGAAGGAAGGAAGAGCACCAGAUGCUGAAAGCCCUUUCGAUAGGUUAAUACUUUUUAUCCUGUAUAGUAUUUGGUUAUUAUGGAUUCUUUGCUUGCUGAUCAUUACCUUUUACAUUCUUACCUUUUGCCUGCAUUAUCCAGAAUCCUAAGCAUUUAUGUGAAUACAUAUGGAGAAAAAGAUGGAAGAGUUGGAUUGGCUAUGUGCUCCCUGGCACAGGUGAAAUGUGCAAAAGGUGAAUUUCUAUGUUACAUUCUUUACACACACACAAACACACACACAUUUCUCUCGAUUCAAAUUUUCAUUUGACGAUUAUAGGUUAGUUGCGUAUUUUGUUGGUAUUUUGUACUGAUCUGGGAACAUGAAAAUAAAAAUUGUCUCUUGUCUGACAUAAAUAAUAUCAAUUUUUCCUGUUUUUGUUCUUUUUGGAGGAUAACUUUGGAGUUACCAUGUCAGAUGAUGGUUUCACUAUGUAUAAUAAUGUAAAUAGAAGAGUAAGUGGCAAAUUUAGGUUCAAUUCAUUGAAUUGUGGCAUAGGAAUUCAUUUUUGAUACCCGAAAGAAAAGGAGAAAAAAGAUGUAUGAUGAACGCCCUAUUUAUUUGCUUCUUUAUUCUUUAAUGUUUUCCCCUUUGGACAGGCCAAAAGAGAGAAUCCAUUAAAAACUAUAAAGCACCCAAGCUAUUGUAGAAUAGUGUAGGCUACAAGAAGUUUCAUACGUGAAAUCUUAGCGUCAUCAUCUUGGCCUCCUUCCUAAUAAUGUCCACCUAAAGUCUUCUACAUUACCGUGUUUUGAUCCUGUGCGGCCUUCUGUAGGAGAAGUGAAUGAAGCCAUUGAUCUAUACAAGAAGGCCAUUCAAAUCCUUGAGGAUUCAAAAUACAUGGAAUUGGAUGACAUUGUAAUGGAACAGAUGAGAGUAGACUUGGCUGAAUUACUUCAUGUAACUGGAAGGUAAGAAAUAUCCCAACUGUUGGGUGUCUCUCAUUGUCUCCUCAUUAUAAUUUUUUAAUAGAUUUCCCUGAGCAUUUUGUGCACUGAGUUUUUUAAGUGUAUAAAUUGUAGGAAGAUGUCUUAAAACCAUUUAGAGUGAGCACUUAAGUUUGUUAUGUCAGAAUGUAGAGGCUAUUAAGAGUAUGAUAUUGGUUGUUGAAUUAGUAUACAUUAAGAUUGUGUUUGAGCCAUCCACCCCAUUUUUUUUUUUUUUUUUGUAAAAAAUGUGUUUUGUGAUAGUAUUUUUUGAGAUGUGGUUAAAUUUAUUUGUUUGUUUAUUUAUUUAUUUAUGAUAAAAAAAUGUGUUUUGUGAUAGUAUUUUUUGCGAUGUGGUUAAAAAGUAGGCAACAGCUGGUGUUGGUCACACAGUAUUACAGUCUUCUUUAAUUUUGUUUAUUUUAUUUUUAUGAAACCUAGUCCUUUUAAUUCUAUUUUUGAUAAAACACAGAGGAGAAGAAGGCCGAGCCAUUCUGGAGAAAUGCUUGUUAAUAAAUGAGAAGUAUAAAGGAAAAGAACAUCCCAGCUCAGUACCACUUCUUGUAAAUCUUGCAACUUCCUAUUCACGCUACAAGAAUUUUGUAGAAGCUGAGCGCUUGCUGAGCAUAAGUUUGCAAAUUAUGAUGAAGACUGUGCCCCCCGAUGAUCAGUCCCUCACAUUCCCGAUGUUACAUCUUGCCAUCACUCUGUACAAUCUAAAUCGAGAUGAAGAAGCUGAAAAACUUGCUCUCGAUGUUCUGCACAUUCGUGAGAAGGCAUUUGGAAGAGAAUCUCUACCAACUGGUAAUUUUCUUGUUGUGCAGUUGCUUGCUGUAUGCUGGAUUACAUAUCAUGUUUGCUAAGCUUAAAUGUUACUUUUCUAGAAAGUGACCUACUUUCUAGAAAAGUUUUGUUAGCAUAAAAAUCAACUUGUAAAUUAUGUUUGGCAAGAAAGAAGCUUAAAAAGUAACUCUUACUUCUUUUUAAGCUUAGCCAAACACGCUCAUACCUCCUAUAUGCGACAUUGAGAGAUGAUUUUAUCAUGUGAAUUCUUUUGAAAGUUUGACAUUUUGAUCCAUCAGAAAUUUGACUAGAGGUUGGUACAUUCAACGCACUUUCAGCAGUUGCCUUGAGAUCUAAUUCUGUUAACUCAGAGUCAUUAUAUAGUGGCUUAGUUUCUUAUUUAAACUAUGCUUCUGUGCAUUCCUUGUCCAUAUUGUUUUCACGCUUUUGUUUCGUGAAUUUGUGAAACAGGAGAGGCUCUUGACUGUUUGGUCUCUAUUCAGUCACGAUCAGGGAAGGACGACAGUGAGUUGUUGGAGCUGCUCAAGAGGGUUCUGAGAAUUCAGGAGAAAGCUUUUGGCCACGAGGGUGAGGAGGUCAUGGAAACCCUCAAGAAAAUUGUACAUUACAUGGACAAAAUGGGUAUGAAUAACGAGAAACGUCCAUUGCAAAGAAGAUUAUCCAUUUUGAGAAACAAACACAAGAAAAUGGUUAGGUAUUGACAACAGUGGCUUAUUGAGUUGGAUAUUUCUUGUUUUCUUGCAAUGGAGCGAAUCCUAGAUCCUUGGCUGUUUUGAUGUCACGAACAAUGAUGAAAAGUUUUAUGGCAAGAGUAAGCAGCCAGUAUUCAGCAUUUUUGAUAAUGAACAUUGAGGUACUUGGCAACUCAAAUCAUGCAUCUUUUGAUAGUUUAUAGCAUGCUUAAUUUUCUUGAUAUUCUUCAUGUUCUUAGUUAAUCGAUAAAAUCUUGCCUGUUUUACCUUGUCCUUAAAAGGAGAUGCCUUAUUGACUUUUGGGAAUUAUUCGUGAUUUUAGUCAAAGAAACGUUUUCACAUUCAUUUUAAGAAAAUUACAUUAGAAAAACAAUUUGAAGAAAAUUCUACCAUCUUGGUUGUAGGCUUGUAACGACCUUGCCAUAACCUUUGUUCAGACCGUGGACAUAAUAAAUGCUUAUAUACAUACAUAAAUAUAUAUAUAUAUAUACGGUCUAGAUCAUUUAGAUCACCAUAUCCGCAUCCAAACACACCCCAAUAAAGGUAUUAAUAGAUCUACACCAGUGGAUUAGCUUAAAGGGUUGUGAUUAUUUGUCAAAUUCAUUGGUAUAUAUAUGUGCGUGUGCGCGCGUGACUCACUUCUCUUCUUAUUUUGACCGGUUCUUAAGGAGUAUCGAAGCACUAGUCACUAGAUGUGCAUUUCACUCAUUUCUUCUUUGCUUUAUCAAUAUUUUGUGACAGGAAUGGAACUCAUAAAAGUUGCUUGUUCAAUAUCAAUGAUGAGAAUAAACAGCUUGAAGUAUAACUGAACAGCUUGCGAAAUGUGCGUCUCCACUUCAGGUAUAUGUAACAAUUGAUCAAGGCGAUCUCCAUCAGCAAGCAAAUAUUUAGCUGGACCUGAAAAUUCCAGUUUUGUCCACAUACUUGUCGAAUUAACUCCUGGUAUCCUCUGCCCCAUAAGCAUCAAAUGCUACUGCCCAUGUCAAAGGAAUCAUCUUUGAUGAUGUGAACUUCAGUGCUAUCUAUCUUUGACAGCCCAGGAGGUAUUCCCAAGUAAUUCGCUUUUAGGGACGAAUGUGUAGUUGUUUAUUAAGCGUUUUGAUGUUAUCUUUGACAUGAUGUCUGUUUUCGUGAAGCGUUUUGAUGUUAUCAACUUGCAAUAUAAGUAUGUUGGGGAUUGUUUAUUUUGAAGUAUUUUGAAUAUAAUGUGCAAUUAAUUUUAACUCCUUUCUUUGUACUUGUAAGGGUAGAAAGUAAGUAUUUUGAAUACUUGGCUUAAACAGUUGAAGAGUGUUUACAACCAGUUUUCCUUAUUCGUCAUCUUUUGUUUCAUGCAAUUGUUGUGAAAUACUCGCUUCAUUUUCUAUCUUAUUUUGGGUUAUACACAGAUACACUUGAAUGUUCAAAGAUAAUUGGACUAUAUUGAAGGGCUUGAGAGCCAGCUAUGUCUAGUUAUCCUCGAUAUUUUUUCGAGGGGUGGGG
Molecule: long non-coding RNA, 7166 nt
Filed under: Olea europaea subsp. europaea
Lineage: Eukaryota; Viridiplantae; Streptophyta; Magnoliopsida; Lamiales; Oleaceae
Source: RNAcentral